GUCUAUGGCCAUACCACCCUGAAUGUGCCUGAUCUCCUCUGAUCUCAGAAGCUAAGCAGGGUCGGGCCUGGUUAGUAGUACUUGGAUGGGAGAAAUUAAUUCAAGCUAAUUUAAACA
Molecule: ribosomal RNA, 117 nt
Filed under: Propithecus coquereli (Coquerel's sifaka)
Lineage: Eukaryota; Metazoa; Chordata; Mammalia; Primates; Indriidae
Source: RNAcentral